Molecule: non-coding RNA, 640 nt
Organism: Salvia hispanica
Lineage: Eukaryota; Viridiplantae; Streptophyta; Magnoliopsida; Lamiales; Lamiaceae
Source: RefSeq, a predicted model, not a curated record
AAAAAACAAAGGGCUAUAGAAAGGAUCGCACAGAUCUGAAAGAGGAACAAACUCACUAAAUGAAGGCCAACUUCAUCUUAUACUGAGUACCCUACCGAGGAUUGAAUUAAUCAUUAGACGACCCAAGAUAAGCAACAAUACUGCGGAAAAAGGCUUCAUAGAUAAGGGAGGAUUGAACCGUAAAGUCAACCAAAACGAUCCAAAGAUAAAGAAGAAAAUUCACAAAAUUAAAGCUACGAGUGCAGUUUGCCAAUUAAGCAAGCAGACAUAUGGCAGAAGCAGUCAUUUUAUCGUUGAUGCAAAAGCUUAACAAAUAUCAAGAGGAAAGAACAGAUGAGGUCGGCCAACAUAUAAUUGGAAAAAUGGAAAGGGUAAUUAAAGAGAUGAGAGAGAUUGUGGAUAUAGUUAGAGAUAAGAAAUUUGGAGACGGAAGAAGACUCAACUUUGUAGUAUCCGAUCUGGACCACAUGGCCCACGAUGCCCUCUACCUCUACAAAAAGGGCAAAGUUUAUAUGAUGAGUUUUAUCAUAAGUUGGAUUGGAGAGAUCAAAAUGCGGAUGCUUAAACUGGGAGCUGAUGGGGCGGAGACAGAAAAUGUUGAUGAAGAUCAUGUGGUGGUAGGCUUGGACAAACACAUUGA